This 1882-nucleotide small RNA is filed under the name Pongo abelii (Sumatran orangutan). RNAcentral's name for it is "processed transcript". The record is from RNAcentral. Lineage: Eukaryota; Metazoa; Chordata; Mammalia; Primates; Hominidae.
GAUGUCACGUCCGGCGGCGGCGGCAGCGGCGCUGAGUUUUGUCUCCCGGGCUGUCGGGGCACGCGCAGGUGUCCCCGGUGUCCCAGGUGUCCCGCCGCCUCCUUGGUUCCCGCAGGACUCGCCCCUCCUGGCCCUGGGCCCCAACGGUGCCCGCCUGCCCGGCGGUCGGCCAGCGCACAGGGCACUGCUUCCUCUGCUUCUCCCGGACCACUUAGUCUCAACCCGGGUGUGUUUCCGCUACUAGAGAAUGAAAUAUGACUGAGGACUCUCAGAGAAACUUUCGUUCAGUAUAUUAUGAGAAAGUGGGGUUUCGUGGAGUUGAAGAAAAGAAAUCAUUAGAAAUUCUCCUAAAAGAUGACCGUCUGGAUACUGAGAAACUUUGUACUUUUAGUCAGAGGUUCCCUCUCCCGUCCAUGUACCGUGCAUUGGUAUGGAAGGUGCUUCUAGGAAUCCUGCCUCCACACCAUGAGUCCCAUGCCAAGGUGAUGAUGUAUCGUAAGGAGCAGUACUUGGAUGUCCUUCAUGCCCUGAAAGUUGUUCGCUUUGUUAGUGAUGCCACACCUCAGGCUGAAGUCUAUCUCCGCAUGUAUCAGCUGGAGUCUGGGAAGUUACCUCGAAGUCCCUCUUUUCCACUGGAGCCAGAAGAUGAAGUAUUUCUUGCCAUAGCUAAAGCCAUGGAGGAAAUGGUGGAAGAUAGUGUCGACUGUUACUGGAUCACCCGACGCUUCGUGAACCAAUUAAAUACCAAGUACCGGGAUUCUUUGCCCCAGUUGCCAAAAGCGUUUGAACAAUACUUGAAUCUGGAAGAUGGCAGACUGCUGACUCAUCUGAAGAUGUGUUCCGCAGCGCCCAAACUUCCUUAUGAUCUCUGGUUCAAGAGGUGCUUUGCGGGAUGUUUGCCUGAAUCCAGUUUACAGAGGCAAGUAUGUCUUUCGAAGACAUAUUGAAGGCUUGGCGUUAGAGCAGAGUUCUGGCCUUUCAUGUGGUCAUCCCUCAGAGUAUAAAUUUGCUUUAGGACAAUACAGUAAUUUGAAGCUCAAUCCUCCAGCAGCUACCAUAACAGCACAUGAUUCUGCUUAUUCUUGAAUAUACAAUUAGAAAAGUUAAGGGCCCUCAGUGCAUUAGAUGCUGUGAAGUAGUCACACCUCAAAUGGUCUCCAUAAGUUUAUAUAAGCAUCAGCUCCUUUUUUCCAGAAAUGUGACAGAUCCUCCUCUAGUAGAAAUCUUAGUAUUAGUUUCAUCAUCAUAUCUUUAAAGAAGCUGAAGGCAGUCAAAGAUUUGAGACUAAAACUAAGUUCUUCCAGUCAGUUUCAGACAUGUCUGGGUAUUUCGGAGUCCAGGUGCCACCCAUUAAGACUUUGUGAUGUAGUAGAAUAGUAACUCUUAAAAUAAGUUAUGGCACUGAACAGUGCAGUACACAGAGAACAUUAUAAGAUAAUAUGUAACUAAGUGUAUGAAGUAGAAUACCAACUUUUAAGAGUUAUAGGAAUGAUCAGAAUUAUUAUUUUAGAGUGGUUAUAGAUCAGUAACUGGCUCCUUAAGCCCUUAGAGAAGUUUAAGGAGUCUGUUCCCAGAAUCACUGGCAAUGAAAUUGAAUUUAUCUCAUUUCGUAUACAUCUUUUGUUAUCCUUUAGUAGGCUAUAAUUAUAUUAGCAUUACAGAAUAUUAGCAGAAUAUGAACCAUUAGUUUAGGAUUUUCUUUUUCUUCCUCAAAAAUGUCAGGUUCACAACAUGAGGGAAUAUGAUUUUGGUAGAUUCCUAGUGGAACAGUAAUUUUUAGUGAACUUUCCUUUUUCCUUCUAGUGCUGAUUGUAUCUAGAAUAGAUUUCAAAUGGCUUCUGUAUUUUGUUGUUGUUUUGAUGAUUGUUUCAUAAAAGUUGUU